This 253-nucleotide ribosomal RNA is filed under the name uncultured bacterium. RNAcentral describes it as "partial 16S ribosomal RNA". It matches the Rfam family "Bacterial small subunit ribosomal RNA", at positions 524 to 776 of the family's 1533-position model. The record is from RNAcentral.
UACAGAGGGUGCGAACGUUGUUCGGAAUUACUGGGCGUAAAGCGUGCGCAGGCGGUUUUGUAAGACCGAGGUGAAAUCCCCGGGCUUAACCUGGGAACUGCAUUGGUGACUGCAAGGCUUGAGUGUGUCAGAGGGAGGUGGAAUUCCGCGUGUAGCAGUGAAAUGCGUAGAUAUGCGGAGGAACACCGAUGGCGAAGGCAGCCUCCUGGGAUAACACUGACGCUCAUGCACGAAAGCGUGGGGAGCAAACAGG